This is a long non-coding RNA of Portunus trituberculatus (swimming crab), 1284 nucleotides long. RefSeq lists it as uncharacterized. The record is from RefSeq and is a predicted model, not a curated record. The transcript has 3 exons. Lineage: Eukaryota; Metazoa; Arthropoda; Malacostraca; Decapoda; Portunidae.
CACCAUUCACAUGAGACACACUACACUUCGCCACACUGUCAGUUGCUACGCGGACACCACACCAGUCGGACGUCGGUACCGCCUCCUGAUACGUCGUUACUGCUUCUGUUAUCUGAUGCCCUCCAGUGGUGAACCCAGGCGCUCCUACCCUGGUCAAGCUUGGACGUCAAAAAACCUGCGAGGCCGGGGUCAACACAGGUGUUAACUCAGAUGUCUACAGAAGUUACGGGAGGAAAGGGCCAGAGGAUGGAUCAUAGUUCCACUUUGGCCAUCGCAACCUUGGAUGGGCAUGCUCCUUCGGAUGCUAGUAGAGGACCCUCGGGUCAUACAGAGCAGGAAGAAUGUGCUACUGCAUCCGUCAACUGCAGAGGAGCACCCAAUAAUGAAACACACAAAUUUGAUGGCUUGAUGGUCAGUUGUUAGGACACAACUUGGAGCACGUGGAAUAUCUAGAGAAGGUACGGAAAUCAUCAUGGCUUCAACUUGCGCCCUUCCUCGUACGCCCAGGUAUGCGACAACCUGGGAUGUGAAAUCUGUAUUACAGAAGAAAAGGAUCAUGGAACUACUACACAGCCUCUCUCUGAAAGACUUUUCGCUAAAGUUGGUGAUGCUGAUGGCACUGACACAGGCAGCCAGGAUCCAAACUUUGCACUUAUUAUUGCUGGAAAACAUUGCAUUUAGAGAAGACUCAUUUUCAGUUUUGUUAGGAGGUAACAUCAAGCAAUGCAGGCCAAAAUUUAAUGUUCAUACGAUUGUGUUUAGAGCUUAUACUCAGGAUUAUAGACUGUGUGUAUUUAGGACUAUGAAGGAAUAUAUAGAAAGAACUGAGAGGCUGUGGACAGAAUCUGGGAAUGCAGAUGGGAAACUACUCAUAAGUUAUAUAAAACCUCAUACGAGUGUUUCUAAAGACACGGUGGCCAGGUGGCUUAAGACAAUGUUAGGUAGGUGUGGGAUUGACACCAAGUGGUACACAGCAGAUAGUAUUAGACCUGCAUCAGUCUCUAUGGCAAAGGCACUGAAAGUGCCAAUUGCCACUAUCAUGGCAAAGGCUGGUUGGACACAGGAAGCCACAUUUGCUAAAUAUUAUAAUAAGGAUAUACAAGGGGACAAAGACUCUUUUCAAGAGGUGGUGCUAGGCUCAGUAUAAUGUAUGUUUUGAUCUGUUAUGUCCAUUGAGGAUAAUGUUAUAUUUUCAUAAAGAAGAUUGGGACUUCAUAAUAGGGAAUUUUCUUUACACCUAUUUACAAGAUGUGAUUUUUGACUGAAUUAUAUACAUACAACACC